RNAcentral lists this long non-coding RNA (563 nucleotides) under Rosa chinensis. RNAcentral describes it as "sRNA RchiOBHm_Chr4g0445771". The record is from RNAcentral. Lineage: Eukaryota; Viridiplantae; Streptophyta; Magnoliopsida; Rosales; Rosaceae.
GUUGCCGCUGUACCUUUUCGGCGAUUUCGUCGCCGUCCGGCCACCACAGGACGAAUCGUUUGGCACGGCGUGAUCCUCUCUUCCUUCUCCUUCUAGCCAUCUUGUUUUGGGUUGUGGAGGAAGAAUUGAAGGUGUUUGGGGACGUGAACAGUAGCGUGAACAGUUCCAUCCGAGUUCUUGAGUUUGGGUUUGGAAUUCCGGCUUUUUCUACUUGUUUUGGUUGUGAUUGCAGGACGUAUUGAGCCCUCGAGCGAGGAGGACACGGGCAGGCAGCAGGAUUAGCUGCGGGACUCACUUAUUUCAGAUUAGCCGAGAUCGCGUCCAGGCUCUAGAGACUUUGGAAAUCAGCGCUUCUGUUUUUGUCCGUAGGUUAUUACUUAACCUACCUUGUAUGUUAUCGGCUUAGUUAUUAAUGUUGCUCUGAUAACCCUUUUUUAAUUUGAUGGAUGUUGUUGCUUACGGAGGUUAUGUUGGGAUUUGUACAUUCCGAAUGUAAUAUAUGUGCUUGGAUUGUAAAUAUGGAAUUCCCAUAUUUAGGAGAGGUUCUGCCGAAUUUUCGGUAG